AUGUUUUCUGUUGGUGACGGGAGCAGAGGACUGACUACUGGCCUCGCAAGCCCUCUGUGUCCCCAGUGGCUCCCGCGUCCCUCAGCAGAGCGGGGCAGGAGGUGUCCAUGGCGGAUCCUGGGGCCCGAGCUGAGAAGGCUGUCAGGUGGGACUGUGGUGUCCCUGGGUGGGGGGGGGGGAACGGUUGUUACUUCGAGAUUCAGCCUGCAGGGGACUCUCAGUUGGGGUCUCCCAUGUUUGCAGGGGAGGGGCGGUGGCAGUGCGGGCCCCUCUCUCCCCUGCACAGGUAACUACUGCCCAGUCCGGGUGGCUCUACAAGGUUUAGGAUCCAAAGAAGCCCAGAAACAUGAUCUGCACCAGCAAGAAGACUUCCUGUGGAAGGACCUCUUGGUGACAGGACCCUGUGGCUUCUCUGGCUGCCCCCAGGAGAAACGAUCGACCACCAUGAGAAGGACUCCAACACCCCAUCUUCAGAAUCCUCGCCCUUCCAGAAGAGGUGUUGAAUGUCCUUCAUCCUCACUGCCCCCUGAACAGGACCUCGUGGCUUCUCUGGCUGCCCAGAGGUCACCACGAUCAUCCUAA
RNAcentral lists this long non-coding RNA (582 nucleotides) under Oryctolagus cuniculus (rabbit). Its description in RNAcentral is "lncRNA (ENSOCUG00000031976.1)". The record is from RNAcentral. Lineage: Eukaryota; Metazoa; Chordata; Mammalia; Lagomorpha; Leporidae.